Molecule: transfer RNA, 74 nt
Filed under: Poecilia formosa (Amazon molly)
Lineage: Eukaryota; Metazoa; Chordata; Actinopteri; Cyprinodontiformes; Poeciliidae
Rfam family: tRNA
About the family: Transfer RNA (tRNA) molecules are approximately 80 nucleotides in length. Their secondary structure includes four short double-helical elements and three loops (D, anti-codon, and T loops). Further hydrogen bonds mediate the characteristic L-shaped molecular structure. tRNAs have two regions of fundamental functional importance: the anti-codon, which is responsible for specific mRNA codon recognition, and the 3' end, to which the tRNAs corresponding amino acid is attached (by aminoacyl-tRNA synthetases). tRNAs cope with the degeneracy of the genetic code in two manners: having more than one tRNA (with a specific anti-codon) for a particular amino acid; and 'wobble' base-pairing, i.e. permitting non-standard base-pairing at the 3rd anti-codon position.
Source: Rfam by way of RNAcentral
GGCUGGUUGGCUCAGCUGGUCAGAGUGAGGUGAUGAUAAUUCCGAGGUCAUGGGUUCAAUCCCCAUACUGGCCA